GACAGACAGACACACACACACAGAGGGAUAGACCCCACCUGCCAAGAUUAGAGGGUGAAUAAAGACCUCUCCUCACAUUACCAGAGCUCUUGUAACUGAACAUCUGAACUUGCAUAUCACAGGCAUACUUGAAGAGGCAAAUUUCUAUUUGCAAAACUGUUAGAAGAAAUCAAAUACUUCAGAUGAGCAGAAUCCCAAAGAGAAGAAUUCUGUCAGAUUAUUGCAUGGAAACAAUCGAAUAAGAGACUCAAUGGAAUUUAUGAAUAUAAAAGCAAAUUUUUAAAAAUAAAACAGUGAAUACUGCUUGGUGUUUCACAUAACAGUUGCCUCUACCUUUAAGGACAGAUUUUGGGCCCUAAAAUUGCAGAGCAUGCAAAUGUCUGCCUCUUUCUUACCCAAGUACCGGAAUGGUGCAAGAUUUCAGGCAUAGCUUCUAUUGUAUUUUAUCUACCAUGAGUGGGACUAUUCCAGCACGAGGGGCCAAACAUUUCCUAGACCUGUGAGACCUGAGAGACCUUGUGCACAAGUGCAAGCACUCCAGUUCUGCUGGUGAGCAGGAAGCAGGACAGCUGGAGAAGCAGCUUAGCAGGGUUAGCACAAUGCUGUGUCAAAGGUUCCAUGCUCUGCAGGGCUCAGAGCCUGGCUGAAGGCAGAUAAACCUACAAAUAAUUACUGUGUGGGGUGUUGGACCUGCUGUGCCAUGCUCUUGGAAGUGAGGCAUGGUGGAGUCUAAAAUGCAUGUCAAAAUUUUCAUGAGAUCUUGUCCUUGGAUGCUUAAAUAAAUGUAUCAUCAUGGAAAUAAAAAGUGAAGAAUUAGCUGAAUAUCAGUGUUAAAAAGUCAGUGAUUACCUGUUGAAACACAAUUGUACUUGGUGUUUUUGGGGGUGCCAAGUAUCUGCUCUUUUGGAAAGAAUAUUCAUCAGGUGUGUGAUAACAUCCACAAGUUUCUGAAGAUUUUGAC
Long non-coding RNA from Oenanthe melanoleuca, 961 nucleotides. RefSeq lists it as uncharacterized. The transcript is spliced from 3 exons. The record is from RefSeq and is a predicted model, not a curated record. NCBI's taxonomy places the organism in Eukaryota, Metazoa, Chordata, Aves, Passeriformes, Muscicapidae.